Long non-coding RNA from Anneissia japonica, 300 nucleotides. RefSeq lists it as uncharacterized. The transcript is spliced from 3 exons. NCBI's taxonomy places the organism in Eukaryota, Metazoa, Echinodermata, Crinoidea, Comatulida, Comatulidae. The record is from RefSeq and is a predicted model, not a curated record.
AUCUUUUCAAAAAGUAAGUAGACGUUAGUAUUGAUAUCAGUCUGUCUGUCAAGUAUAUAAUGCGUCAGUUUUGCUGCAUCGUCUGUAAUUAGCGUCGUAGUUUCCUUAUGUUGAGUCCCUCCGGUUUCAAAAAAACUGCCAGUACUUGACAACUUUGCAGCAUUCAACCAAUCAGCGCAAUCAGUAAUCUUUUUUCAGCAAUUUCAUGCCUACACGCAAAAUGCAUCUUCGUGGAAUGUUAUUGCUUUCGGUCCUUGUUUUCACAACACCUACAGAGAAUCUGGCACCUAUUCAACGCCG